AUUGAACGCUGGCGGCAUGCCUUACACAUGCAAGUCGAACGGCAGCACGGGUGCUUGCACCUGGUGGCGAGUGGCGAACGGGUGAGUAAUACAUCGGAACGUGCCUUAUCGUGGGGGAUAACGCAGCGAAAGCUGUGCUAAUACCGCAUACGCCCUGAGGGGGAAAGCGGGGGAUCGCAAGACCUCGCGCGAUUAGAGCGGCCGAUGCCUGAUUAGCUUGUUGGCGGGGUAAAAGCCCACCAAGGCGACGAUCAGUAGCUGGGCUGAGAGGACGAUCAGCCACACUGGGACUGAGACACGGCCCAGACUCCUACGGGAGGCAGCAGUGGGGAAUUUUGGACAAUGGGGGCAACCCUGAUCCAGCAAUGCCGCUUGAGUGAAGAAGGCCUUCGGGUUGUAAAGCUCUUUUGUCAGGGAAGAAACACCGGCUCUAACACAGUCCGGGGAUGACGGUACCUGAAGAAUAAGCACCGGCUAACUACGUGCCAGCAGCCGCCGUAA
RNAcentral lists this ribosomal RNA (501 nucleotides) under uncultured bacterium. RNAcentral's name for it is "partial 16S ribosomal RNA". It matches the Rfam family "Bacterial small subunit ribosomal RNA", at positions 29 to 523 of the family's 1533-position model. The record is from RNAcentral.